CCUACGGGUGGCAGCAGUGAGGAAUAUUGGUCAAUGGACGAGAGUCUGAACCAGCCAAGUAGCGUGAAGGAUGACUGCCCUAUGGGUUGUAAACUUCUUUUAUAUGGGAAUAAAACGUUCCACGUGUGGGAUUUUGUAUGUACCAUAUGAAUAAGGAUCGGCUAACUCCGUGCCAGCAGCCGCGGUAAUACGGAGGAUCCGAGCGUUAUCCGGAUUUAUUGGGUUUAAAGGGAGCGUAGGUGGAUUGUUAAGUCAGUUGUGAAAGUUUGCGGCUCAACCGUAAAAAUGCAGGUGAAACUGGCAGUCUUGAGUACAGUAGAGGUGGGCGGAAUUCGUGGUGUAGCGGUGAAAUGCUUAGAUAUCACGAAGAACUCCGAUUGCGAAGGCAGUUCACUGGACUGCAACUGACACUGAGGCUCGAAAGUGUGGGUAUCAAACAGGAUUAGAUACCCCGGUAGUC
This 460-nucleotide ribosomal RNA is filed under the name uncultured bacterium. RNAcentral describes it as "partial 16S ribosomal RNA". It matches the Rfam family "Bacterial small subunit ribosomal RNA", at positions 338 to 795 of the family's 1533-position model. The record is from RNAcentral.